GACGAACGCUGGCGGUGUGCUUAACACAUGCAAGUCGAACGGCAAGGCCCUGCUUUUGUGGGGUUCUCGAGUGGCGAACGGGUGAGUAACACGUGAGCAACCUGCUCUUGAUUUUGGUAUAACUUCAGGAAACUGGGCCUACUACCAUAUAGCAGCCCCUGUUGCAUGGUGGGCGUUGGAAAUUCUCUGCGGUUGCGGAUGGAUGCGCGGCUUAUCAGCUUGUUGGUGGGGUAGUGGAUUACCAAGGCUUUGACGGGUAGCCGGCCUGAGAGGGUGACCGGCGACAUGAGGACUGAGAGACGGCCCAGAGGCCUACGGGAGGCAGCAGUGGGGAAUAUUGCACAAUGGGCGGAAGCCUGUUGCGACAGCGCCGCGGGCGGAAUGACGGCCUUCGGGGUGUAAACCGCUUUCGCCUGUUACGAAGCGGGUGUGACGGUAAUGAGUGAAGAAGCACCGGCUAACUUCGUG
Molecule: ribosomal RNA, 468 nt
Filed under: uncultured bacterium
Lineage: Bacteria
Description: partial 16S ribosomal RNA
Rfam family: Bacterial small subunit ribosomal RNA
Source: RNAcentral